This 433-nucleotide ribosomal RNA is filed under the name uncultured bacterium. RNAcentral describes it as "partial 16S ribosomal RNA". It matches the Rfam family "Bacterial small subunit ribosomal RNA", at positions 29 to 507 of the family's 1533-position model. The record is from RNAcentral.
AACGAACGCUGGCGGCAUGCCUAACACAUGCAAGUCGAACGAGACCUUCGGGUCUAGUGGCGCACGGGUGCGUAACGCGUGGGAACCUGCCCUUAGGUUCGGAAUAACUCCCCGAAGGGGGUUCUAAUCCCGGAUAAUGUCUUCGGACCAAAGAUUUAUCGCCUUUGGAUGGGCCCGCGUUGGAUUAGCUAGUUGGUAGGGUAAAAGCCUACCAAGGCGACGAUCCAUAGCUGGUCUGAGAGGAUGAUCAGCCACACUGGGACUGGGACACGGCCCAGACUCCUACGGGAGGCAGCAGUGGGGAAUAUUGGACAAUGGGCGAAAGCCUGAUCCAGCAAUGCCGCGUGAGUGAUGAAGGCCUUAGGGUUGUAAAGCUCUUUUACCCGGGAUGAUAAUGACAGUACCGGGAGAAUAAGCUCCGGCUAACUCCGUG